This 1461-nucleotide ribosomal RNA is filed under the name uncultured Bordetella sp. RNAcentral's name for it is "partial 16S-23S ribosomal RNA intergenic spacer". It matches the Rfam family "Bacterial small subunit ribosomal RNA". Lineage: Bacteria; Pseudomonadati; Pseudomonadota; Betaproteobacteria; Burkholderiales; Alcaligenaceae. The record is from RNAcentral.
GGGUUCAGAAUUACAAUCAGUUCGGGCGCUGGCGGGAUGCUUUACACAUACCGGUCGAACGGCAGCACGGACUUCGGUCUGGUGGCGAGUGGCGAACGGUGGGUAAUGUAUCGGAACGUGCCUAGUAGCGGGGGAUAACUACGCGAAAGCGUAGCUAAUACCGCAUACGCCCUUCAGAAGCAGGGACCUUCGGGCCUCGCACUAUUAGAGCGGCCGAUAUCGGAUUAGCUAGUUGGUGGGGUAACGGCUCGCAAGGCGACGAUCCGUAGCUGGUUUGAGAGGACGACCAGCCACACUGGGACUGGGACCACAGCCAGACUCUGGAGGCAGCAGUGGGAAUUUUGGGACGUGGAAACCCUGAGUCGCCAUCCCGCGUGUGCGAUGACCUUCAGGUUGUAAAGCACUUUUGGCAGGAAAAGAAACGGCACGGGAUAAUACCAUGCAGCACAACCAAUACCUGCAGAAUAAGCACCGGCUAACUACGUGCCAACAGCCGCGGGUAAUACGUAGGGUGCAAGCGUUAAUCAAAGAUUGCACGGGCGUAAAGCGUGCGCAGGAGCGAAGAAAGAUGUGAAAUCCCAGAGCUUAACUUUGGAACUGCAUUUUUAACUACCGAGCUAGAGUGUGUCAGAGGGAGGUGGAAUUCCGCGUGUAGCAGUGAUACUGCGUAGAUAUGCGGAGGAACACCGAUAGCGAAGGCAGCCUCCUGGGAUAACACUGACGCUCAUGCACGAAAGCGUGGGGAGCAAACAGGGUUAGAUACCCUGGUAGUCACGCCUAAACGAUGUCAACUAGCUGUUGGGGCCUUCAGGCCUUGGUAAGCGCAGCUAACGGCGAAGUUGACCGCCUGGGAGUACGGUCGCAAAGAUUAAAACUCAAAGGAAUUGACGGGGACCCGCACAAGCGGUGGAUGAUGUGGAUUAAUUCGAUGCAACGCGAAAACCUUACCUACCCUUGACAUGUCUGGAACCGAAGAGAUUUGAGUGCUCAUAAAGAGAGAACCGGAACACAGGUGCUGCAUGGCUGUCGUCAGCUCGUGUCGUGAGAUGUUGGGUUAGAACCACUGUAGGCAUAACCAUGUCGUCUGGUGCUACGAAAGGGCACUCUAAUGAGACUGCCGAGUGACUCAGCCGGAGGAAGGUGGGGAUGACGUCAAGUCACUAGCAGCCCUUAUGGUGGGCUUCACACGUCAUACAAUGGUCAGGACAGGGUCGCCAACCCGCGAGGGGGAGCCAAUCCCGAAACCCGAUCGUAGUCCGGAUCGCAGUCUGCAACUCGACUGCGUGAAGUCGGAAUCGCUAGUAAUCGCGGAUCAGCAUGUCGCGGUGAAUACGUUCCCGGGUCUUGUACACACCGCCCGUCACACCAUGGGAGUGGGUUUUACCAGAAGUAGUUAGCCUAACCGUAAGGAGGGUGAUUACCACGGUAGGAUUCAUGACUGGGGUGAAGUCGUAACAAAGU